This 253-nucleotide ribosomal RNA is filed under the name uncultured bacterium. Its description in RNAcentral is "partial 16S ribosomal RNA". It matches the Rfam family "Bacterial small subunit ribosomal RNA", at positions 524 to 776 of the family's 1533-position model. The record is from RNAcentral.
UACGUAGGGGGCAAGCGUUGUCCGGAUUUAUUGGGCGUAAAGAGCGUGUAGGCGGCCACACAGGUCUGCUGUGAAAACUCGAGGCUCAACCUCGAGCUGUCGGUGGAAACCGUGUGGCUAGAGUCCGGAAGAGGAGAGUGGAAUUCCCGGUGUAGCGGUGAAAUGCGUAGAUAUCAGGAGGAACACCAGCGGUGUAGACGGCUUUCUGGACCAUUGCUGACGCUGAGACACGAAAGCGUGGGUAGCAAACAGG